Molecule: ribosomal RNA, 1442 nt
Filed under: metagenome
Description: bacterial SSU rRNA
Rfam family: Bacterial small subunit ribosomal RNA
Source: RNAcentral
AGAGUUUGAUCCUGGCUCAGAGCGAUCGUUGGCGGCAGGCCUAACACAUGCAAGUCGAACGACCUCUUCGGAGGGAGUGGCGAACGGGUGAGUAUAACUUGGAAAUCUACCUUGGGGUGGGGGACAACGUUUGGAAACAGACGCUAAUACCGCAUACGCCAUAUUGGGAAAACUACGGUGCCCUAAGAUGAGUCCAAGCCUGAUUAGCUAGUUGGUGGGGUAAUAGCCUACCAAGGCAACGAUCAGUAGCGGGUUUGAGAGGAUGAUCCGCCACACUGGAACUGAGACACGGUCCAGACUCCUACGGGAGGCAGCAGUGGGGAAUAUUGCGCAAUGGGGGAAACCCUGACGCAGCCAUGCCGCGUGCACGAUGAAGGCCUUAGGGUUGUAAAGUGCUUUCGCUAGGGAAGAUAAUGACGGUACCUAGAUAAGAAGUCCCGGCUAACUCCGUGCCAGCAGCCGCGGUAAUACGGAGGGGGCAAACGAUGCUCGGAUUCACUGGGCGUAAAGCGACCGCAGGCGGCUUAUUAAGCCAGAUGUGAAAGCCCCGGGCUCAACCUGGGAACUGCAUUUGGAACUGGUAAGCUAGAGUAUGAUAGAGGUAGACGGAAUUGCCAGUGUAGAGGUGAAAUUCGUAGAUAUUGGCAGGAACACCAGAAGUGAAGACGGUUCACUGGAUCAUUACUGACGCUCAGGGUCGAAAGCGUGGGGAGCAAACAGGAUUAGAUACCCUGGUAGUCCACGCCCUAAACGAUGUGUACUCGUUGUCGGACGUUCAGCGUUCGGUGACUAAGCUAACGCAUUAAGUACACCGCCUGGGGACUACGGCCGCAAGGUUAAAACUCAAAGGAAUUGACGGGGACCCGCACAAGUGGUGGAGCGUGUUGUUUAAUUCGAAGAUACGCGAAGAACCUUACCUAGCCUUGACAUCCUGAUCAUACUUUCCAGAAAUGGAUCGGUCAUUUAGUUGGAUCAGUGACAGGUGUUGCAUGGCUAUCGUCAGCUCGUGUCGUGAGAUGUUGGGUUAAGUCCCGCAACGAGCGCAACCCUCGCCGUUAAUUGCCAGCAUUUAGUUGGGCACUUUAGCGGAACCGCCGGGGAUAACCCGGAGGAAGGUGGGGACGACGUCAAGUCAUCAUGGCCCUUACGGCUAGGGCUACAGACGCGCUACAAUGGUGCCGACAACGGGAAGCAAUAUCGCGAGAUGGAGCCAACCCUACAAACGGCAUCCCAGUUCAGAUUGUAGUCUGCAACUCGACUACAUGAAGUUGGAAUCACUAGUAAUCGCAGAUCAGAAUGCUGCGGUGAAUACCGUUCCCGGGUCUUGUACACACCGCCUGUCAAGUCAUGGGAGUGAGGUCUGCCCGAAUUGGGUGAGCUAACCGCAAGGAGGCAGCUCAACACGGUAGGACUCGCGACUGGGACUAAGUCAUAACAAGGUA